RNAcentral lists this ribosomal RNA (200 nucleotides) under uncultured bacterium. Its description in RNAcentral is "partial 16S ribosomal RNA". It matches the Rfam family "Bacterial small subunit ribosomal RNA", at positions 29 to 254 of the family's 1533-position model. The record is from RNAcentral.
AGCGAACGCUGGCGGCAGGCUUAACACAUGCAAGUCGAGCGGGCGUAGCAAUACGUCAGCGGCAGACGGGUGAGUAACGCGUGGGAACAUACCUUUUGGUUCGGAACAACACAGGGAAACUUGUGCUAAUACCGGAUAAGCCCUUACGGGGAAUGAUUUAUCGCCGAAAGAUUGGCCCGCGUCUGAUUAGCUAGUUGGUG